GGAUGCGAUCAUACCAGCACUAACGCACCGGAUCCCAUCAGAACUCCGAAGCUAAGCGUGCUUGGGCGAGAGAAGUACUAGGAUGGGUGACCCCCGGGAAGUCCUUGUGUUACAUCCC
This 118-nucleotide ribosomal RNA is filed under the name Nicotiana sylvestris (wood tobacco). The record is from RNAcentral. RNAcentral also lists the same sequence under 1 other name. Lineage: Eukaryota; Viridiplantae; Streptophyta; Magnoliopsida; Solanales; Solanaceae.